UGGGGAAUAUUGCACAAUGGAGGGAACUCUGAUGCAGCGAAGCCGCGAGAACGAAGAAGGCUUUCGAGUCGUAAAGUUCUUUUAUAGGGGAAGAUAAUGACGGUACCAUAAGAAGAAGCCCCGGCUAACUACGUGCCAGCAGCCGCGGUAAUACGUAGGGGGCUAGCGUUGUCCGGAAUCACUGGGCGUAAAGGGUUCGCAGGCGGAAAUGCAAGUCAGGUGUAAAAGGCAGUAGCUUAACUACUGUAAGCAUUUGAAACUGCAUAUCUUGAGAAGAGUAGAGGUAAGUGGAAUUUUUAGUGUAGCGGUGAAAUGCGUAGAUAUUAAAAAGAAUACCGGUGGCGAAGACGACUUACUGGGCUCAUUCUGACGCUGAGGAACGAAAGCGUGGGUAGCAAACAGG
This 403-nucleotide ribosomal RNA is filed under the name bacterium. RNAcentral's name for it is "partial 16S ribosomal RNA". It matches the Rfam family "Bacterial small subunit ribosomal RNA", at positions 355 to 776 of the family's 1533-position model. The record is from RNAcentral.